RNAcentral lists this ribosomal RNA (169 nucleotides) under uncultured bacterium. RNAcentral's name for it is "partial 16S ribosomal RNA". It matches the Rfam family "Bacterial small subunit ribosomal RNA", at positions 339 to 525 of the family's 1533-position model. The record is from RNAcentral.
CUACGGGAGGCAGCAGUAGGGAAUCUUGCGCAAUGGGCGAAAGCCUGACGCAGCCAUGCCGCGUGAAUGAUGAAGGUCUUAGGAUUGUAAAAUUCUUUCACCGGGGACGAUAAUGACGGUACCCGGAGAAGAAGCCCCGGCUAACUUCGUGCCAGCAGCCGCGGUAAUA